RNAcentral lists this ribosomal RNA (465 nucleotides) under uncultured Klebsiella sp. Its description in RNAcentral is "bacterial SSU rRNA". It matches the Rfam family "Bacterial small subunit ribosomal RNA", at positions 338 to 795 of the family's 1533-position model. Lineage: Bacteria; Pseudomonadati; Pseudomonadota; Gammaproteobacteria; Enterobacterales; Enterobacteriaceae. The record is from RNAcentral.
CCUACGGGCGGCUGCAGUGGGGAGUAUUGCACAAUGGGCGCAAGCCUGAUGCAGCCAUGCCGCGUGUGUGAAGAAGGCCUUCGGGUUGUAAAGCACUUUCAGCGGGGAGGAAGGCGGUGAGGUUAAUAACCUCAUCGAUUGACGUUACCCGCAGAAGAAGCACCGGCUAACUCCGUGCCAGCAGCCGCGGUAAUACGGAGGGUGCAAGCGUUAAUCGGAAUUACUGGGCGUAAAGCGCACGCAGGCGGUCUGUCAAGUCGGAUGUGAAAUCCCCGGGCUCAACCUGGGAACUGCAUUCGAAACUGGCAGGCUAGAGUCUUGUAGAGGGGGGUAGAAUUCCAGGUGUAGCGGUGAAAUGCGUAGAGAUCUGGAGGAAUACCGGUGGCGAAGGCGGCCCCCUGGACAAAGACUGACGCUCAGGUGCGAAAGCGUGGGGAGCAAACAGGAUUAGAUACCCCGGUAGUC